Molecule: transfer RNA, 62 nt
Filed under: Cordylochernes scorpioides
Lineage: Eukaryota; Metazoa; Arthropoda; Arachnida; Pseudoscorpiones; Chernetidae
Description: tRNA-Thr
Source: RNAcentral
GUGCCUAGUGGACAUGGCAUCUGCCCGGUAAGCGGAACACUGUGGGUUCGGUUCCCAUUCCA